UACCACAUGUUCUCACUUAUAAGUAGAAGCUAAACAAUGGCACACAUAGACAUAAAGAUGGAAAAAAUAGACACUGGAGGCUCCAAAAGAGGGGAGGAUAAGAGGGUUGAAAAAUUACCUAUUGGUUGCUUGAAAUUGCUUAUAGGGGGAGGGUGUGCAACACAGAAAUCAACAAACACUACAAAUCAAAGAUUUUCUUGUUUUGCUAGAGAGUUUCUUAACCAGCACACCACUGCGGGAAGUCCUUACUUCUGAGCCUUCCCAAAGCUCUGUAGCACACAUCAACUGUUUCUUUCAUAUUCUCUUUCUGCAGAUUGUUCGAUUUCAGUUGUCCAUAUUCUGCUGUCAGUCACCAAUUAAUCUCCUUUCUUGAUCCUAGAAAGACUUGUUGACAUCUAUCACCAAUUGUCAUCUCCUCUCCCACCAAUCAGCCUAUAUUACUGAUAUGGUUUAGCUCUGUGUCCCAACCCAAAUCUCACCAUGAAUUGCAAUAAUCCCCACGUCAAGGGCAGGACAAAGUGGAGAUAAUUGAGCCAUGGGGUGGUUUCUCCCAUGCUGUUCUCGUGAUAGUGAGUUCUCAUGAGAUCUGAUGGUUUUAUAGGUGGCUUCCCCCUUCACUCAGCUCUCAUUCUUCUUCCCACUGCCAUGUGAAGAAGGACAUGUUUGCUUCCCCUUCUACCAUGAUUGUAAGUUUCCUGAGGCCUCCCCAGCCACGCUAAACUGUGAGUCACUUAAACCCCUUGCCUUUAUAAAUUACCCAGUCUCAAGUGUGUCUUUAUUAGCAGCAUGAGAACAGAUUAAUACAAUUACUUUUAUAUAGAAAAGAAAAUGGUUAUAUUUCAAUUUCAACAAUUCUUUGAAAAUAAAAUAACAUGAGAAUGAUUUAUCAUAUAAUUUACAUGACAUAAAUAUACAUGCGAUAGUGUUAAUAUACACAACUACACUUAAAUCUUGGCUUUGCCAUUUACUAGCUGUGUGAAUUAGAGAAAGAUACUUAACUUUUCUGGUGUUCAAUUUUUUUCAUUUGAUAAAUAGCAAGAACACUACCUAUCUUGCAUGGAUACAGUUUGAAAUGGAAAUGUGUAUAAAAUGAAAAUAAUAUACAUCAUGUGUAUUAAUGGCUCAUACCAGAUAGUCAGUAUACAGUUGAUAUUAUUAACAUAAACAUCAGUUAUAAUUUAAAAUUAUUUUGUAUAAAUAUAUCCUCUAAAAAUUUUUUAAACUAUCAUGCCUCAAGUCAAAUGAUGCAAAAGGAGGUUAACGAACUAUUAAAACAUCGUUUUGCUGCUAUUUCCUGGAGAAAAUAUGACUUAAUUAGUCAGACUGAAAUGGAUUAUUUUAAAGUGUAAGUAAUUUGCAGGUAUUAAUAGCUAGCAUUGCCCCUAGUAUGGUCCAGAUGGUCUUAUCAGGUCUUAUUGGGUUUCUUGUGCAUUAAAAAACAGAGUUUAAUGAGGCAAUCGUACCCUAAAGCAGGUUUGCAAUAAAUUCAACAAAUAUACUGGCACCUCUCCAAGUGUGUAAUAAACAACCUCCUCUGCUCCUUGCGGCAAAAGAAAAUACUCUUGACUCCAGAGCAUCACUUGCCUUCAGUGAACAGGGCUGUUGUAAAAAUGCUUUAGAGAGCAAAUGCCUUUAAAGAACUCAAAGACUUGGACAUUAUCAUUUCCAUUUGGUGACAGAAGGUCCAAAGAAGCAUCUUUCCUCACCUAUACGUAUCACUGAGUUGUGAGAGGAAAUGAAGAACAGACAUCGGUGGGGAGACAGAAGGAAAUGUUAGCAAGUGGAGGGGUUUUAUGAAGUCAGGAGGUAAAGAGAGAAAGAGAGAGAGAGGAAAAAGGAGGAGGACAAGGAGGAGAAAAAAUGAAGAAGAAGAAAGAAGGGAGAGAGGGAGGGUGGAUAGAGAAAUGCCCUCUCUUGGUUCUCAAUGUCUCAUCCACCUCCCUCAUCCAAACCACAGACUAAAGCAGGCAAGGAAGUGGCUCCACCUUCUCCAUUCCUUCAGAGGUCUGAAAUAUAUCAAUUAUGUCCAGCAGGGUGAUUAUUUUUUAAACCUAACAUAAGUAAGCCUUUCUGUUCUACUAGACUGUGCUCCUUAAGGGUGUAGAACAUGGCUCAUUCUUCUUUGCAUCAACAAUAUUUAACACUUCUCAGAUACAUACUAGGCAUCAAUAAAAAAAUUUUCUCAUUAAAACAUUUUAGGGCUUAUAUGCUCUAUUUUUUUUCCCUGAGGUCCACUGCUUAUACUGAACAUGAAAAAUUUAGCCUACAUGUUAAUAAAAUCUUAUAUUUGGUCCUGGAUCAUAAAAAAAAUAAGUUAAAAGCCCAUUUUCUAUAAGAAAUUUGGGUCUUCUGCUGAUGGACAGAGACGUUCUUCACUGAGACACACUUUGUGAAUUCGGGAGUGGUAAUCUCUACCCUCAGAGGGCAGUGGGGGUCAGUCAUUGAACUCUUAUUCUAAAAAAUAAAAACAUUAAAUAAAGUUAAAAUUAAGGAUGCUUUAUGGAAUUUCAGGGUUUCGAUGAUGUGUAAAGCUAAUGGCAACAGAGCAAAAUUUACUCCUUUAAGGAGAGGAGAGCCUGAACAUAUUUUUUAAAUAAGUAAAUAUCAAGUUAGAAAGGUUUGGAAAAUAGUUGUUAAAAUUAUAACAAAGCUCUCUACUUUUCUUUUAUCUUUUUCUGUUUUUGGAUAUUGGUCGACUAAAUUAAUUAUGUAACAAAAAUUCAAGUAGGGAUUUAAUUUGCCUCUGCUGGUAACUCCAGAUCUCUAGGGUCUCAUUUGCAGGAGUGCUCCUGAGGCACUAGGAGUGGAUGCUAAAGAAGACUUUUUCAGACCAGAAGGGGAGAAAAGGGCUGCCCAGCAUCCAUGGGUAAGAUAAGGUUGUCCCAGGUGGGGAAGAUUUUGAAAACAUCCUAAGGUGUUUUUACCUUAACAUCUUUUGAUAAGAGAAUCAAGAGCAUUUGAUUCUCUUUUGAUAAGAAAAUCAAAAGAUGUAAGCUAUUGGGGAUAUUCAAGUGGGGUCAGGGAGAGUCACAUGCCUUUCCUUCAUCUUCUAGUACAGUCUUGGGUAAGGUGCUCUGAGGUCUUCAAGGCAGUGUUGUCAUAUUGAAGGAGCAGACUGCAUGUUAGACACUGAAAAAGACCUCUGAUUACUCUGAGGAUGACACUGUCACCCACUCAGGGUCGAGCUGAGAAAACCUUGUCCAUGAGUUGUGAUGUAACUAUGCUUCAUCUUCAGAAGCCGUCGUGGUGGCUACAGCCAAACAGCAAGCCCAGAGGAGCAACAGGUAGGGACAAAGACACAAACAGAGGUAGCUAUAAAAGCAACAUCCACUGAAUGAGGCCAACAAACACCAAGGCAGCAGGAAAAUGAUUACCAAGAAGAAUGAGGUGCCAUUUCAUCAGAAGGAAGGAGAAAGGAUUGGGGUGUCAGCACCCUAGUAACUGUACUGGGUGGGUAUUAAGAUGCAAAGGCCAGAGCAUGAUCAAUAGUCUCAUUAGCUGUUUACAAUGCUAAAGUCACCAGGAGAAAUAAAAGUUGAAUGUCUAUUUAUUUAAUGGCAUUUGUUAAGCUCCUCAUCAAAUGAUGUGCCCAGUAUUGUGCUAGAUUCUGAAUAUGAAACGGUGAGAGGAAAAAAAUGUGCUUCCUGUCCUCCUUGAGCUAACAGUGUUGGGUCUAAAUAUUGCUUAUAAACAGUACUGUUGGUUUUGUGGUAGUGGAGAACCCAAACACUUCUGUAGUUUUAAGACUUGUCCAAUUAUGUAAUGGGCCACAGAUCACACACAAGAGAAUACUCAGAGACCUGUAUGGCAGAUUUCACAUCCAACCUAAAGAUUCACUGGCUUAACUUUGAGUACAGUCACUUGAAUUACUUACUGUUACUUGAAUUAGUUACUUGAAUAGCUACUAAAUAGGAACUGGUUUAAAUAGUCAUGACCUUGUGUAAACUGAAAACAGAAAUUCAUUAAUACUCCCAAUCUAAUUGCAUUUGGAAAAUACUUGCAGAAUCAUGGAGUUGGAAAGUCAUUAUCUACUCAAAGAGACAAUCCAGUCUCCUGCUUCUCUGUUUAUUUAUUCAUUCAUGUUGCAAAUCCUGAGUGAGUGCCUACUGCAUACCGGCAAUGUAAGUACAAAUCCCUCGCUCUAAUGAUACUUAAAUUCUAGUGUUAAAGACAGACAUAAGAAAACAAGAAAAAGUGAAUAAAUAAUUUUCCAGUCGCGUUAAGUGCAAUGAAGAAAAAAAAAUAAGAAAGCAGGGUAGUGGUUAGGGAAAGGAAGGAAGGGAAAGAAGGAAAAAAAUGCGGGAUGGAGGAAGAGAAAGAUGGGGCGGGCACUCUCUUACCCAGAGAGGGUCAGGAAGGCCUUCUCUUCGAGCAGAUACCUGUGCAUAAUGAGGGUCUGAGCCACGCAAAGAUCAGGGAGAAGAGCUUUCCAGGCAGAGAGAACAGGAGUGCAGGCCUGAAGCUAGACCAGGGCAGCCAAGGCAGAGUGAGGAGAAAAUUGUGGGAAAUGUUGCAGUCAGGGGCUAGAUCUGCACAGACCACCCUCAGACAUUUGCAUUUCUCUCUGUGUGUGUGUGUGUGUGUGUGUGUGUGUGUGUGUGUGUUCUUUUUAAAUGAUGAGAAGCUGUUGGAGUGACAGGACUUCUUUUCAGCUGCCAAGCUUUUUGUGUUUGCACUUUUCCUUAACGCUUCUUCCAGAUUAGGUUCUCCUUAAAUUCUGUUUGCGGCUGGAAGUGAUCCUAGACACCUCUGGCUCAGCUUCCCAACUCAUGCAGGAGAGGAACCUGAAGCUUAGAUAGAUUAUGGAACUCGCUCGAGAUCAUACAAGAAGUGGCAAUGCUGGGAUUUGAGCCCACGAUUGACAAAGCUUUUAUUCUUUGCAUUCUACCAUGCUGCCUCCAAAUAGGUCAAAUGACUAGAAAAAGAGAUUUAGGUUCAUAAUUGUCACUAUGCAUUUUUCCUACUAUGGGAACAAUUAUGAACAAUUCCAUAUGUGUCCAAUUUUAUAACAAUAAAGCGCAAAAGAACAUCUGUAUCUUUCUGUUGUAGGGUAGCAGCCUUGAAAUUUGUAUCUUGGUUUAUUGUAUUAGAUAUUUCUUGAAAUAAGCAGACCUUAAUUGAAAAGUGGAAAAUGUUUAUCAUAUCUAAUAUGAAUAUUUUUAAAUAAAUAAUUUUACUUAAGGAAUUUCCUAGAACCUGAAAUUGCUUUACUCUGUAUAAAUCUUAUUUAUACAUCAGUGUACUGUGGGAAGUUAAAAAAAUCUUAUUUAAAUACAGACAUAUAGCUAAACUGCAGAGAACAAAGCAUUAUUUCAGCGUUAUUUAUAAGUACUGGUACUUUUCUGUUGCUAUUUUUCUAACAGAAUCUGGCUCAGGACUGUCUCAUUUUCAUUUUCACCUCUCUGUCCUUGGUUUUGUUAAUUCCAUGUAUUUUAACUUUGCACUUCUUGAAGCAUAGCUGGCUCUCUCUCUCUCUCUCUCUCUCUCUCUCUGUGUGUCUUUCUCUGUCUCUCUCUCUCCCUCACACACAUACACCUGUGUGCACAUCUUCCACAGAAAAAUUAACUCCAUGGCAGAUAGUUGUGCAGAAUAGAAUACAUUUUGCCAGACCAACAAAUCAGAGACAAGCCAACUCUCAGGCUCCAGAUCCGGUGUCCCACUAACUCCUUUAUUUAGCUCAAUGCUGGAGUAACACACUUCAGAUAAAGAUUUUGCCCUGGUGGCUAUAGACUAUGAAUCUGCUACACUAGUCUUCACAAACCAAUAAGCACUAGGUAGCCGGACUAGAGCAUUAAAUGUUCAAGAUAUUGUCAUUCAAUCUCCAUAAUAAAUAGAUAACAAAGCCAAGGUCUUACUAAGGGGUUACUUGAUAGUUAGGAGGUGAAAUGAGACUAGAUCCCAGGUCUUCUUACCUCUAGGAAAAUUGUCUUCCUUCAAAACACCAUGCUUUCCCCUGAAUUUGAGAUCACAAAAAACAAAAACAAAAACAAAAAAACUAUGUCUUCUAGAAAUACCAGAAUUAGAACACAUCUAUAUGAAAAUCCUUGUCCUCUGAUAGCAGUCACCUGUGAUUUCCCGGGAUAGAGCUCAUUCCUCUUCCCCAUCUUCCCAGGCCAGUGAUAGUAACUUCUUUCCUUUGAAAUGCUGCAAUGCCUGUGAGCACUCACCUGUAGGGACUUCAGAAUUCAGAACAAAUCCUUGCUGAAAUGGAAGGGCGGCAGAAAGAACAUUGCCUCUUCCUGUGUAGAACUUUUAUGGGAUUUCUCCCAAGUGUGUAAUAUGUGUGUGGUGGUAUUUUACGAAACUUUCAUGAGAGUACUUCACUUCAGUUCUCCUCUGCCUUUUAUGGUAAUCCCGCUCCUAUUAUUUUUCUGUUAACUGAGAUUUUAUUUUUAAAUAUUAAAUUGUGAUUACGAAAAGAAGUUCUUUAUUCCCAGAGCCACACUCAUGUAUAUGUAACUUCUUCUGACUUAUGUGGAAGCAACUCCCACGUUGGAGUUUCAGCCCUGGUCCCAUAAUUUGCAAGCAUUAAAUGGAAGCCUCAUAUUGCAAUGCAAAUUAUAGUACCCAGGGACUGGCAGUAUAAUCACCCAGUUACAAAAAAAGGUAAAGAGGAGAUGAAAUUACCAUAAUGGGCCACAGAAAAUACACAAGAGAAUGUUCAGAGGCCUGCAUGGCAGGUUUCAUCACUAUUCUAAAGAUAUGCUUGCUUUCCUCUGAAAAUGUAAGGAAAGAUGUUGUUGGCUCCACCUUGAUGGAACUUGAUCUUCAGCUGCUUUUACGAUAGUGAUGGACUGGGCUGAAUUAUUCAUAUCUUCUCAUCCAAAGUGUGAAAUGGCUAACCAGGAUUUGGGAUCGUUUUAGAAGCUGAACUGCAAUGGACAAGUAGGUUGAAAUAUGGAAACAUGGGGAGUGAGAGAGAACAGCAUCUAGCAGGAGGAAGAGGAUCAUGCCAAGGUCUUGAGACAGGAAGCCCUGUUUGAAGAGAAGCACAGUCCAGCCAGGCUAGAGCUGGGGUGAGACAUUUCUGGCACAUAGUGAUUUCAACUGAAGUCCAGCUUAGAGCCUGGGCCCUGGACCCCAGUGAAUCAGCUCAUCUGAAGGGAGAGCUCCCUCUGAUACUUAAACAUCCCUGGGCCAGGGUUCUAGAAAGCCUGCUCUAAGGGGAAUGAAGGGAGACCUGAACUCUUCAAUAUCGAUUCUUAGGAUCUCUUCAAUUAGCGGCAAAUUACUAUUUUCCUAGCCUGAUACAUAAAAGAAUGCUGAACAUAGGAGGUUCUUACUGAAAUCAUUUGGAAACUGACAAGAAAAAAAGUAGGACUUUAAGAAAUAUUUUCCCUAAGAUUAUGACCUCACCAAUGCAAGUACUGGAUGGUGUUAUAAACAAAUGUUUGAAAGAUGACUUUAAAAUGAAGAUAUAAGUAAUUACAUAGUGAGGCUUACAGUUUACAGCUGAAAAAACAGCUGUUCUAUGGGUUCUUGUGACUUUUGAAAAUAUUUCCAGAGACACAAUCACAUCUGGACUCCAAAAAUACAGUGUCUUAAACACCACAGAACUGACCACGAUUUGCUCUAGAAAACAGUAUUAAUUCUACAGGAGGUUCCAGAGAUGACAAAGCCCCUGCCGUCAAAAUUACACAUAAGGAAUUUAAAUGGAACUGUUUGAUGAAAUGUGAGUGAUGAUAUUAAAUUCUAAAUUAGUAUCUUAUAUUUUAAGCAUGCAUGUAUAGCUAAAUUAAUAAUUUAAAUAUAGCUAGGUAGACAUUUGACUAUCUAUCAAUUAAAUUAGCUCCCCUCAAAAAAUGUUGAGAUUUAUGGAGAGGAUCUUCUAACUGGAAAAAAAAAAAAACACCACGGGGCUCUACUCUGAAUGCCAGGUUCCCUUAUAUUUCGACAUACGCAGUAUUUUGAGAGUAAACCCUGCAGGACUUGAUAGGUAGGUAGGAUGUUGAGUGAGGGAGGAGGAUAAGUCAGGUAAGUAGGUGGUGGUGUUACCAACUGAACUAGCCAAUGGUAGAGACACAGUUUCACAGGUGGUAGGGUGGGCAAAGGGAUAUUAAAAGCUCACUGCUGGCAAGUAGUUGAAAGAGAGUUAGUGUUGGUUUGGCUGCUCUGGUUGGCUCUGCCAUCCCAACCCUUCCCCAUGGCUGACCCUGAGGAGUUGCAAGUUUCUUUACCACCCCUGCUGCCUUCCUUUUCUCCCUUAACUUCAGACUUCUCUUCGGCAUCUUCCCUGAGCGCUCCCGUGAAUUUGAGCUGGCCAGUUCCAAGCAGGGACAGCAGCCAAAUGGUGGAUCCACUGGAGGAACAGCAGCUGCAGAUUGGAGAUGCAUUCUCAUUAACCACACUUUUUUGUUUUCAACUUUCCUUUUAGGUUCAAGGGGUCCAUGUUCAGGUUUGUUUGAUAAAUUGCAUGUUGUGGGCAUUUGAGUCACUCAGAUAAUUUUGUCACCCAGGUAAUCAGCCUAAUACCUGAUAGGUGGUUUUUCAGUCCUCACUCUCCUCUCACCCACCUUCACCCUUAAAUAGGCCCCAGAUCUAUUGUUCCCUUCUUUAUGUCCAUGUGUACUCAAUAUUUUGUUCCCACUUCUAAGUAAGAACAUGUGGUAUGUGGUUUUCUGUUUCUGCUUUAAUUCACUUAGGAUUAUAGACUUAGGAUAAUGGCAGCCAGCUGCAUCCAUGUUUCUGCAAAGGCCAUGAUUUCAUUCCUUUUUAUGGCUGUGUGGUAUUCCAUGGUAUAUAUGUACCACAUUUUUUUUAUCGAGUCCACCAUUGAUAGGCAUCUAAGUUGAUUACGUGUCUUUCCUAUUGAGAAGAGCACUAUGAACGAAACUUCUUGAAGCCCCAUUUGCAGUAUCAGCUCAAGUGGAAGAGUUUGCCUUCGGCUUGUCUACAGAAAAUGCACGUUUCCUGAAAACGUGGUGGGAACUCUUGAAAGAGGGCUAUGAUUCUUCCUCAAAACCUGACAGCUGAUUUGGCAUGCUUCAUUGUUUAAUAACGACGGUGCAAUAAUUCAUACUUCCUCAUAUAUGAUAUUUGCACACGUGCAAAAUGUAUAGGAUGAUCUCUUUCCAGCAUUUUUAUGUAUAAUCAGAAUGAAUUUUUUCUUGGUUUUCUUGACUUUUGAGAAAGCAGAAUUCUGAUGCUGUUUUUGAAGCUGACUAGUACUUGUUUAUCCUUAAAUACAUUCUGCCCUCUAAGCUUUUAUAGAAUCCUUUAUGAGAGUUAAUUUAAUCAGUAGAUAGUUAAUAUUAAUAGUGCCAUGGUGCUAUAAGCAACAAACUAGGUACACUAUUAUUUGUUUUGUAACAAGAUGCCAAGCAUGCCAGAGUUUGAAGUAGAGUUUAAUCUUAUGGACCAAGGGAGAUAACUUUAAGAUUGCCAAUGGUAGAUCCACCUCUAUUAGGCUAAGUUCUCUAGAACCAAUGACUGUGUCUUAUUUACUUCUCUGUCCUCAGCAUCUGAAACAGUGUCACACAACACUCACUAAAUGUAUGUUGAAUAAAAAAGUUGACAAACAUAAUUAAAUGCUAUUUUUUUUCCUAUACUUAGCAUGAAGACUAUAAUUGUUUCUCUAAAAAAAUGUAUAAAUCAGAACUUCAUUGACUUGAAGGAAAAUAUUCUCUUUUUUAUGGAAACUUGAACUUUGAUGGUAGCUUUAAAAAAUAUAUGAUAAAUAUUUUUUGCCCUUAUAUAAUUUUUUUAAAGUCUUUACUUCAGAAAAUAAAAGACUGUCUAGAAGGAAAUCUUUUUUUUUUUUUUUUUUUGAGACAGAGCCUCACUCUGUCUCACCAGGCUGGAGUGGUGCAAUGGCAUGAUCUCGGCUCACUGCAACCUCCGCCUCUUGGGUUCAAGCGAUUCUCCUGCCUCAGCCUCCCAAGUAGCUGGGACUACAGGUGCGUGCCACCAUGCCCAGCUAAUUGUUGUAUUUGUAGUAGAGACGAGGUUUCACCAUUUUGGCCAGGAUGAUCCUGAUCUCUUGACCUGGUGAUCCACCUGCCUCGGCCUCCCAAAGUGCUGGGAUUACAGGCAUAAGCCACCGCGCCAGGCCAGGAAUGCAUAUUUGAUAUGGUUUGGAUCUGUGUCCCACCCAAAUAGCAUGGUCAAUUGUAACCCCCAAUGUUGGAAGUGGGGCCUAGUAGGAGGUGACUGGAUCAUGGGGGUGGAGUUUUCAUGAAUGGCUUAGCACCAUCCCCCCAUGGUACUCUAUAGUGAGUGGGUUCUCACAAGAUCUGGUUGUUUAAAAGUUUGUGGCACCUCUCCUAUCUCUCUCUUCCUUCUACUCUGGUCAUGUGAAGACGCUUGCUUCCCCUUUGCUUUCCACCAUGAUUGAAACUUUCCUGAGGCCCCCCCACCGAAGCCAAGCAGCCUCAUGCUUCCUGUACUGCCUGCAGAACCAUGAGCCAAUGAAACCUCUUUUCUUUAUAAGUUACCCAGUCUCAGAUAUUUCUUUAUAGCAAUAUGAGAACAGGUUAAUACAAUAUUUUUCCCUGUUUAGUUCUAUGGUUACCGCUUUUAAUAUUUUUUAUAUUUGGUAUUUUUAUAUGUUUGAUUGCUGUCUUUAAAGUGCCUUAUUAAAAUCAUUGCUCUGUGCUAUUA
Homo sapiens (human) is the source of this 10599-nucleotide long non-coding RNA. RefSeq lists it as uncharacterized. The transcript has 2 exons. The record is from RefSeq and is a predicted model, not a curated record. Lineage: Eukaryota; Metazoa; Chordata; Mammalia; Primates; Hominidae.